RNAcentral lists this ribosomal RNA (860 nucleotides) under Arthrobacter sp. A01. Its description in RNAcentral is "bacterial SSU rRNA". It matches the Rfam family "Bacterial small subunit ribosomal RNA", at positions 26 to 887 of the family's 1533-position model. Lineage: Bacteria; Bacillati; Actinomycetota; Actinomycetes; Micrococcales; Micrococcaceae. The record is from RNAcentral.
AGGAUGAACGCUGGCGGCGUGCUUAACACAUGCAAGUCGAACGAUGAACCUCACUUGUGGGGGGAUUAGUGGCGAACGGGUGAGUGACACGUGAGUAACCUGCCCUUGACUCUGGGAUAAGCCUGGGAAACCGGGUCUAAUACUGGAUACGACCUUCCCGCGCAUGCGGUGUUGGUGGAAAGCUUUUGCGGUUUUGGAUGGACUCGCGGCCUAUCAGCUUGUUGGUGGGGUAAUGGCCUACCAAGGCGACGACGGGUAGCCGGCCUGAGAGGGUGACCGGCCACACUGGGACUGAGACACGGCCCAGACUCCUACGGGAGGCAGCAGUGGGGAAUAUUGCACAAUGGGCGCAAGCCUGAUGCAGCGACGCCGCGUGAGGGAUGAAGGCCUUCGGGUUGUAAACCUCUUUCAGUAGGGAAGAAGCCGGCCUUUGGGUUGGUGACGGUACCUGCAGAAGAAGCGCCGGCUAACUACGUGCCAGCAGCCGCGGUAAUACGUAGGGCGCAAGCGUUAUCCGGAAUUAUUGGGCGUAAAGAGCUCGUAGGCGGUUUGUCGCGUCUGCCGUGAAAGUCCGGGGCUUAACUCCGGAUCUGCGGUGGGUACGGGCAGACUAGAGUGCAGUAGGGGAGACUGGAAUUCCUGGUGUAGCGGUGAAAUGCGCAGAUAUCAGGAGGAACACCGAUGGCGAAGGCAGGUCUCUGGGCUGUAACUGACGCUGAGGAGCGAAAGCAUGGGGAGCGAACAGGAUUAGAUACCCUGGUAGUCCAUGCCGUAAACGUUGGGCACUAGGUGUGGGGGACAUUCCACGUUUUCCGCGCCGUAGCUAACGCAUUAAGUGCCCCGCCUGGGGGAGUACGGCC